GUGGAUUGAACAGAAAAUUGGAAAUCAUAGUCAAAGGGCUUCCCUUGGUUCACCACUCACUUAUUUGUAACUUGACUUCUUUUUUUUUUCUGCUUAAAAAUUUCGAUUCUCGUGGUAAUACCAGAGUAGAAGGAGAGGGUGACUUUACGGAACUGACAGCCAUUGGGGAGGCAGAUGCGGGUGUGGAGGUGUGGGCUGAAGGUAGUGACUGUUUGAUUUUAAAAAGUGUGACUGUCAGUUGUAUCUGUUGCUUUUCUCAAUGAUUCAGGGAUACAAGUGGGUUUCUCUCUUUCAUUAAAAGAAAAUGUGACAUCUUUCUAAGAUUCUCUGUGGGAAAAUGACAGUGUCAAUAAAAUGCGGGUUUCUGGGCCAUUCGUCUUACUUUCAUUUUUUGAUUACAAAUUUCUCUUGACGCACACAAUUAUGUCUGCUAAUCUUCUUCUUCCUAGAGAGAGAGACUGUGCUCCUUCAGUGUUGCUGCCAUAAAGGGGUUUGGGGAAUCAAUUGUAAAAGUCCCAGAUUCUAAAUUAACUAAAUGUGUACAGAAAUGAACGUGUAAGUAAUGUUUCUACAAGUCUUUGCAACAAACUGUCACUUUGGUCUCCAGCAGAGGGAGCUGUAGGAAUAGUGCUUCCAGAUGUGGUCUCCCAUGUGGGGCCCAGCGAUGGGGGCCCCUGAUGCCAAGCGCUCUGGAGGCUCUGGUAAAGGGGGGACACGAAGGAGGAGUGACUGGGAAGCCUCCCAUGCCAAGGAGAUGGAAGGUGCCCUGGAAAUAGCUGCCCCAUGCCACUUAGGCCGUGACUGGAUUUAAUGUCAGUGGUGUGCCGCAGUGCAGAGGCUAGACAACUGAAAGGGGCUACCGAGGCUGGGAAAAAAGAUGCAAUUGUCGCUGUGAGUGACUUUGAAAGACUCUGGUGCCUUGUGGUGACCUUCUGAAAUUCGAACAGUAAUGCAAAAGUGUCUGCUUUAGAAUUUACGGUGUCUAAAAUUCAUAUUUUUAAAAGAGCUUGCCUACAGAUGGUUUCCAUACUUGAAAUUGUGCCCUGCGAGUUGCAUAGCUGGAAGUUCAAUGCUCAGUCCUACCUUGGCUCCCAUUAAACAUUUGGUGUUCUGUGGAUUGAGUUGAACGUGUUGAGGCUUUGCAAUUUCACUUUUGUUAAAGGCUCUGGCAUUUUUCCAUUUCUAUGCAAAUUUCUUUGAAGCAGAAUUGCUUGCAUAUUUCUUCUCUGCCGUCACAGAAAGCAGAGUUUCUUUCAAACUUCAUUGAGGCAUCAGUUGCUCUUUGGCGAUGUCCCUUAACCAUGAUUAUUAACUAAGUUUGUGGCUUGAGUUUACAAAUUUUACUUGUUGCUUUGAUGUUGCCAUGUAGUAAGUCAUUUUUAGUUUGGUUGUGAAAAAACCCUGGGCUGAAGUUAGCAUUUAAGUUAAAAGAAAAAAAGAAACUAGUCCCAGAUUUGAAAACUUGUAAUAAAAUUGAAACUCACUGGUUUUCUAUGUCUUUUUGAACUCUUGUAAUCGAGUUUUGAUCACAUUUUCUAUUAAAGUGGCUAACACCUGGCUAC
Molecule: long non-coding RNA, 1562 nt
Organism: Pongo abelii (Sumatran orangutan)
Lineage: Eukaryota; Metazoa; Chordata; Mammalia; Primates; Hominidae
Source: Ensembl